This is a long non-coding RNA of Nothoprocta perdicaria, 241 nucleotides long. RefSeq lists it as uncharacterized. Lineage: Eukaryota; Metazoa; Chordata; Aves; Tinamiformes; Tinamidae. The record is from RefSeq and is a predicted model, not a curated record. The transcript has 3 exons.
ACUGGGGAAUCCCAUGUGAGGAGUAAAUCCAGAACUGCAGAGCCCUCAGAAAAUUGGCAUGUGGAAUGUGGAGAAGUCAAGCAAGCUUUAGGUACCAAGAAAACUUCAAGAAUCUGAACAAGAGCUGUGAAAAGCCUGUGCAGACACUGUCUAAAAUCCUGUUCCUGUCAAGGACUCUCUAAUGUCUUGUGAUCUAUUGGGUACUCAUGAAGUACACAGUAUAUCAUGACAGAUUUGCACC